UCGAGCGAACAGAUAAGGAGCUUGCUCCUUUGACGUUAGCGGCGGACGGGUGAGUAACACGUGGGUAACCUACCUAUAAGACUGGAAUAACUCCGGGAAACCGGGGCUAAUGCCGGAUAACAUUUAGAACCGCAUGGUUCUAAAGUGAAAGAUGGUUUUGCUAUCACUUAUAGAUGGACCCGCGCCGUAUUAGCUAGUUGGUAAGGUAAUGGCUUACCAAGGCAACGAUACGUAGCCGACCUGAGAGGGUGAUCGGCCACACUGGAACUGAGACACGGUCCAGACUCCUACGGGAGGCAGCAGUAGGGAAUCUUCCGCAAUGGGCGAAAGCCUGACGGAGCAACGCCGCGUGAGUGAUGAAGGGUUUCGGCUCGUAAAACUCUGUUAUUAGGGAAGAACAAACGUGUAAGUAACUGUGCACGUCUUGACGGUACCUAAUCAGAAAGCCACGGCUAACUACGUGCCAGCAGCCGCGGUAAUACGUAGGUGGCAAGCGUUAUCCGGAAUUAUUGGGCGUAAAGCGCGCGUAGGCGGUUUCUUAAGUCUGAUGUGAAAGCCCACGGCUCAACCGUGGAGGGUCAUUGGAAACUGGGAGACUUGAGUGCAGAAGAGGAAAGUGGAAUUCCAUGUGUAGCGGUGAAAUGCGCAGAGAUAUGGAGGAACACCAGUGGCGAAGGCGACUUUCUGGUCUGUAACUGACGCUGAUGUGCGAAAGCGUGGGGAUCAAACAGGAUUAGAUACCCUGGUAGUCCACGCCGUAAACGAUGAGUGCUAAGUGUUAGGGGUUUCCGCCCCUUAGUGCUGCAGCUAACGCAUUAAGCACUCCGCCUGGGGAGUACGACCGCAAGGUUGAACUCAAAGGAAUUGACGGGGACCCGCACAAGCGGUGGAGCAUGGUGGUUUAAUUCGAAGCAACGCGAAGAACCUUAC
Molecule: ribosomal RNA, 930 nt
Filed under: uncultured Staphylococcus sp.
Lineage: Bacteria; Bacillati; Bacillota; Bacilli; Caryophanales; Staphylococcaceae
Description: bacterial SSU rRNA
Rfam family: Bacterial small subunit ribosomal RNA
Source: RNAcentral